This 58-nucleotide transfer RNA is filed under the name Salmo salar (Atlantic salmon). It matches the Rfam family "tRNA", at positions 8 to 63 of the family's 71-position model. Rfam says of the family: Transfer RNA (tRNA) molecules are approximately 80 nucleotides in length. Their secondary structure includes four short double-helical elements and three loops (D, anti-codon, and T loops). Further hydrogen bonds mediate the characteristic L-shaped molecular structure. tRNAs have two regions of fundamental functional importance: the anti-codon, which is responsible for specific mRNA codon recognition, and the 3' end, to which the tRNAs corresponding amino acid is attached (by aminoacyl-tRNA synthetases). tRNAs cope with the degeneracy of the genetic code in two manners: having more than one tRNA (with a specific anti-codon) for a particular amino acid; and 'wobble' base-pairing, i.e. permitting non-standard base-pairing at the 3rd anti-codon position. The record is from Rfam by way of RNAcentral. Lineage: Eukaryota; Metazoa; Chordata; Actinopteri; Salmoniformes; Salmonidae.
UGGUUCAGUUGGUAGAGCAUGGUGUUUGCAAUGCCAGGGUUGUGGGUUUGAUUCCCAU